Molecule: transfer RNA, 72 nt
Filed under: Synodus foetens (inshore lizardfish)
Lineage: Eukaryota; Metazoa; Chordata; Actinopteri; Aulopiformes; Synodontidae
Description: tRNA-Thr
Rfam family: tRNA
About the family: Transfer RNA (tRNA) molecules are approximately 80 nucleotides in length.
Source: RNAcentral
GUAGUAGUAGCUCAGAGCCAGAGCGUCGGUCUUGUAAUCCGAAUGUCGAAGGUUAAACUCCUUCCUGUUACU